GUAGCGAAAGUGUUAAGUGCUCCGCCUGGGGAGUAUGGUCGCAAGGCUNAAACUCAAAGGAAUUGACGGGGGCUCACACAAGCGGUGGAGGAUGUGGCUUAAUUCGAGGCUACGCGAAGAACCUUAUCCUAGAUUUGACAUGCACGGAUGUUGCCGGUGAAAGUCGGUUAAUUGCCUUCGGGUGAAACGUGCACAGGUGCUGCAUGGCUGUCGUCAGCUCGUGUCGUGAGAUGUCGGGUUAAGUCCCUUAACGAGCGAAACCCUUGUCACUAGUUGCCAACGCGUAAUGGCGGGGACUCUAGUGAGACUGCCGGUGUUAAACCGGAGGAAGGUGGGGAUGACGUCAAGUCCUCAUGGCCUUUAUGUCUAGGGCUGCACACGUCCUACAAUGCGGCGAACAAAGGGAAGCGAACUCGCGAGAGCAAGCAAAUCCCAGAAAACGUCGCUCAGUUCGGAUUGCAGGCUGCAACUCGCCUGCAUGAAGCCGGAAUCGCUAGUAAUCGCGGAUCAGCAUGCCGCGGUGAAUAUGUUCCUGAGCCUUGUACACACCGCCCGUCAAGCCACGAAAGCCGGGGGGGCCCGUAGUCGCUGAGCUAACUCGCAAG
RNAcentral lists this ribosomal RNA (605 nucleotides) under uncultured bacterium. Its description in RNAcentral is "bacterial SSU rRNA". It matches the Rfam family "Bacterial small subunit ribosomal RNA", at positions 848 to 1446 of the family's 1533-position model. The record is from RNAcentral.